Molecule: non-coding RNA, 3154 nt
Organism: Nothobranchius furzeri (turquoise killifish)
Lineage: Eukaryota; Metazoa; Chordata; Actinopteri; Cyprinodontiformes; Nothobranchiidae
Source: RefSeq, a predicted model, not a curated record
GGGUCUAUGCGUUGGACACGCCUGCGCAGUGCGCACAGUAACCCGGAAAUGCUCUUUGGUUGACAAAUUGAAAGCUAACUUCUCACAAAAUAGAGAAGUUGUGGAUGCACGUGGCAUGUUAUUUAUCCGGGCCUGACUUCAAACCUCGGACACUCUGAUACUGUACGUGUCUGUAAGAUCCAGCAGGUGGCACCGCCUUCCCCAUGGGCCUGGCCAUGGCAUGCUGUUCCCCCCGCCGUUACCGCAGGCUCUGCUCACGCACCUGCGCCUACACCCUAGCACUAGCUGUGGGGUUUGUAACACUGGGGACCAUUCGCAUUGUUCUGCUCAAGUUCUCUGCCAACGCUGACAACAAGUAUGACUUCCUCCCUGCAUCUGUGAAUCUGCUGGCUGAAGCUCUCAAACUGCUCUUCUGUCUGGUGAUGUCAGUCAGGAUCAUUGUUCGGGAGGGUCGGUCAUGCAGAGAGUUGAGCUUCUCCAGCUCGUCCUUUCUCAUGUCCCUCAAGUGGGCUGUCCCCGCCUUCCUGUACUUUCUGGACAACCUAAUCAUCUUCCACGUGAUGACCUACCUGCAACCGGCCAUGGCCGUGCUGUUCUCCAACGUUGUCAUCUUGACUACGGCUGUUCUCUUCAGAGUAGUUCUGAAGAGGCGUCUGUCCUGGGUCCAGUGGGCAUCCCUACUCAUUCUCUUCUUGGCCAUUGUUUCCUUAACAGCAGGAUCAGGAAGCAGCCAGAACGCCACAUCAGUGCCGGGCCUCCACGCAACAACCCUCUCCACACCCUCCAACUCCUGCCUUCUCUACACACAGCUCAUGGAGCAGAUGAGGAACAGCAGUGCUUCUGAGUUGUGGAACUCUUCCCUGCCCAGCCAGGCCUGGAGGGAAAGGAUAGUGAGGACACUUCAGUCUUUGGGCAUUGGCCACGUUUUGAUCCUCUUCCAGUGCUUCAUCUCUGCCAUGGCCAACAUUUACAAUGAGAAGAUCCUCAAAGAGGGAGAUCAAAUGACCGAGAGCAUCUUCAUCCAGAACAGUAAACUGUAUGUGUUUGGUGUGGUCUUCAACGCUCUGACCCUGGGGUUAAGCAGGGAGGUCCGAGGUCUCACCAUCCAUUGUGGCCUCUUCUAUGGACACAACAUCUACUCUCUGGGUCUGGUGCUGGUCACUGCCGCCCUGGGUCUAUCAGUGGCCUUCAUCCUGAAGUUCAGAGACAACAUGUUCCACGUGCUGACCAGCCAGAUCACCACUGUUUUGGUCACUGGACUCUCCCUUUCCAUAUUCGACUUCCGCCCCUCGCUGGACUUCUUCCUGCAGGCUCCCAUGGUGUUCCUGUCCAUCUUCAUCUACAACGCCAGUCGGCCCAAGGACCCGGAGUACAGCCUGCAACAAGAGAAGCUGAGGGUCAUCAAUGGAGAGGUUUUUGAGAGGUCAAGAGGGGAUGGUGAGGAGCUGGAGCUCCUGACAAAGACCAACACAGACUCUGAGUCUGAGGAGGAGUCACUGUGAGCUGGAAGUGUGCUGCUAAUAAACUCUUUCGUUAGUCUGAACAGCAGAACCCUGUAGAACAUACUGGCUGGACCUUCAUUCUUGCUGUCAGCAGGUUCCUGCUGGUUCAUAUCUGCUCCAGAAUGUUUCUUACAUCUAUCUUGUGGGGUCUUGUUGUGUGUAGAUGUUCCUCUGAUGUGUCCAACGUGGAACAUGAGGGUCCAUUAGACCUGCUACUGUUUUUCUUUCAGAAAAAUCUGAAAAUCAGGAACUCAGUUUGUGUACACGUGGUCCAUGACAUCUCUGAACCCAGAGGCUUCGUUUAGCAGACAGGUGGUAGCUCUGCCCAAAACAUACCCUUUGGUCUUGUACACAUGUCUGUGUGCCUUCUUCAAGUUCUAAAACAACUGAGAGGAAAGGGGGAAUGAUGUUCUAGUCGUCCAGAAGCAGUCUUUGGGAAGAUGGAGGCUUCUUAUGUUCACAAGAAAAUCCUUCUGUAGUGCUCUGUGUGCUGGCUUCAGUUCUCUCCACAACACUGUUUCAACUAACCAGAGAGGAGAGAGGAUGCUCCUGGCUGGAGGCUGGAGCUGCUGCUGGUGGAGAGUGGAGGCCAAUAACAAACGCAACAUAACGGUGAUGUUGAAGACUAGGCAACCCCGCUAGCUCAAAUAUGAUUGGCUGUGGGGUGAGGGGGUGCUGUUUUUUAACAGAAAGGCCGUCACUACCCGACUAAUGGAUUUUUCUGCCACUUAUUAAACUACUCGGGAAUGAAUGAUUUGUUGAUAAGAAAUUGGACUGGUGGACAGAAUGGACAAUGGCAAUGAUACUGAUUAAAACUUAGUGUGAGUGUGUGUGUGUGUGUGUGUGUGUGUGUGUGUGUGUCUUACAACUCAGUUCAUGGGAUUGCAACACAAAUUUGCAGACACAAACUGUGUCACACAUCCAGGGACCAUCACAUCUGACUGGCCUCCAAACAAGAAAAGCACGGAUCUACGACCUCGCAACCAAAUAAGGGAGGCAUAAAAGUGCUUUCCUUACCUUUACGGAAGACGAGGCCCACGCAGAAGACCCGACUUUCUGCACUUUCACGCUGAAUGAAUGGUAAAUUAAAUGGUCAAUGGUCUGUAUUUGAUAUAACGCCUUCUAGAGUCCUGGAAUCCCUCAAGGCGCUUUACAACACAAGCAGUCAUUCAUCUGUUCACACACUGGUGGGGAUGAGCUAUGAUGUAGCCACAGCUGUCCUGGGGCACACUGACAGAGGCAAGGCUGCCAAGCACAGUGAACGUGGGUUAAGAGUCUUGCCUAAGGACACAACAGCCGCGACAGACUGAGCGGGGCUCGAACCUGCAACCUUCCGAUUACGGGGCGAGCACUUAACUCCUGUGCCACGAUCGCCCUGAAGUCCCAUCUCCUUGAAUCAUAAAUGACUUUACAGCUUUAUAGGCAAAUGUGUUGAACGAAAGAGUUUGAAGAAUGUGUGCAUCAACCAAUGAUGUGUUCAAAUGAAUAUUUUUGCUGUAAUGAUUCAUUUCAGAUCUUAAACCACACCAGGUCAGUGUUGCCUGGGAUUGAAGUUUUCUGUUACUUUUGGUAUUUUGAUUGCUUUCAGCUGAAGUGAACAGUUGUUUUAUUCUAUGUGAGUUUGAUUAUUAAAAGAUCAUUUUUGUCAGAAA